Ictidomys tridecemlineatus (thirteen-lined ground squirrel) is the source of this 1777-nucleotide non-coding RNA. NCBI's taxonomy places the organism in Eukaryota, Metazoa, Chordata, Mammalia, Rodentia, Sciuridae. The record is from RefSeq and is a predicted model, not a curated record.
AUCUACAACUAAAAAAAAUUUUUUUAACUGAGCAUUGCCCUUUGGCCUUAGCCAUGAGGGCUCUUGGUAUCCUUUGCCAGAGUACUUCCAAGAUGGUAACAAGGGCAGAAAUGAAACUAUGAGAAGUCCAGUCACAUGUAGACAACAGCUGGCUCAAAGAUCCUAAAGCUUUCAUCAUACUUUAACUUCACUGAACCUGGGCCAGGUGCAGCCAGGUGUGGCAAAGAGCACCAGUUUCUUCAACAAGUUACCCAUGAUAUUGAUAUUGGAGGAGAGAGAUGGAUGUAGGUUGUAGUUUGUCCUUGUGAAUUCCACAUGUCCAUCAAUGGGUGAAUGGAUAAAGUAAGUGGUGUAAUGUAUAUCCAUGCAAUAAAAAGAAAUGAACUAUUAAUUCAUGCCACACCAUGGGUGAGCCUGAAAAAAUUAUACUGAAUUCUAUUGAUAUAAAACUCUAAGAAAUUCAUCAUAUGGUAACAGAAAGCAAAUCAGAAAUGGAAUGGAGAUGCGCAGCAUAAAAGGAAGGCAGAGAUACAAAUUGUGGACUUUAAGAAAAGAGGAAUCUCCAAGAAAGGAACCAAGUAAUUAAUUGGACCUAAAUUCAAAAUGGAGACUGGGAGUCUUUUAGUGACCAGGGUCACACAUUACUCUGUGUUCCUGGAAGAACCACAAACUGAGCUUCGCAACCCUUGCCCAGGCAUGAUCCUCUUUGAACAGCCAAGAUACACCAGUCCCCAGAAAGUCCCUUUCACUAUCCAGAUCUGUCCAAUGAGUUGUGACCUGCUGACAGACACAUUUAAGUAUUGACCAAUCAGGACUGGGCACUUCUAGCCAUACACUUACAUCCCUCUUGUGCCAAUUGCAAACUGCUUGUAGAAAUAAAGUCUCUCCUUUUUUUUUUUUUUUGUCUUAAAUUCUUUCUUAGUGAAUUUUCAUUGACAAAAAUGUACUCAAGAAGUUUUCUAAGAUCUGUUUAUUCUCUUCACCACAGUGAUGUCAGUCAAAAUGCAUCAAAUUGUGUGCUUUAUGUGCAUUUUAUUAUAUGUCAGUUGUACCUCAAUGCAGCUGUUAAAUGUUUUUAAACAGGAAUACAAAAAAAAAUGAGAGGGUGAGACAGCGCUGAUUCAUCUAUCUAGCUGUGGUCUUUCCAACUUUUUCUUUCUUUCCCAUCCUCCUGGCUAGAACAUGACCAUAGUGGUUGGAGCUGACACUAUCUCCUGACCAUCACAGAAAAAGCAAGAAGAUUCCAAAGUUCUCAGAGCCCUCAGAGGUCAGGGACUGCCUGGCUGUUGCACACCUGUGAGGAAGCUGACAGUGGCUGACACAACAUUGUGCUUCCAAGUCCUUGGGAAGAGUUCAGAUGCAGAGGACACCGUGAGGAAGAUGGUGAGGAAAGCCAAGAUAACUGCAGAGAUCAGGAAGAACCGGCCCAGGAGGAUGUAGACUGCAGGAGAGGAAGAGCCAGGGCUGGAGCUGGAGACCCUGCCCUCCAAAAGGCAAGAGACCCUCAGAGCCUGGCACAGGGGGCCCCAGAGCCUCCACCACCCUCAGAUCACAGCCUGGGACCAAAGCUGUGACCCUGCCACUUUGCCCCCCAAGAAUGCUCCGGCCUCACCAUUUUGUUCCCAACAAAGUGGAAGCAUAUGGGGAGAAAGUUAGAUUGACAAUGUCAGACAUGAGAGUCAUUCAUCAGUUCUUAACAUAUAUGAUGAUGUAUGAGGAAAUCAUGUAUCUUCCAUUUGGGAAAAACAAUGGUUUUCAUAAAACACAUAAAAGCAAA